AGGGUUAUAGUUAAAAAUAACAUUUGAUUUGCACUCAAAAAGUAUUGAAUUAUCAUCAAUUUUCCUUA
This 68-nucleotide transfer RNA is filed under the name Anaxarcha zhengi. RNAcentral describes it as "tRNA-Ala". It matches the Rfam family "tRNA". Rfam says of the family: Transfer RNA (tRNA) molecules are approximately 80 nucleotides in length. Their secondary structure includes four short double-helical elements and three loops (D, anti-codon, and T loops). The record is from RNAcentral. Lineage: Eukaryota; Metazoa; Arthropoda; Insecta; Mantodea; Hymenopodidae.